Molecule: long non-coding RNA, 1298 nt
Organism: Cyprinus carpio (common carp)
Lineage: Eukaryota; Metazoa; Chordata; Actinopteri; Cypriniformes; Cyprinidae
Source: Ensembl
CUUUGGUGGUUGGAACAAUAGUUCUACCCGGAUGAUAACGUGGAGCUAUAUAUUGCAUAUAUUACAGUAUAUACUAUCAGUAAUAGGUGGCAUGCAUGAUACAAGGUAGUGGUCAGUAACAUCAUCACUUUGAGGUAAUAUAUCUAUAUCAUUAAGAUCAAUUCCAUGUGAUAUAAUUAAAUCUAGUGUAUGAUUAAAAUGAUGAGUGGGUCUGGUUACGUUUUGCUUGACUCCAAAAGAGUGUACUAAGUCUGUAAACGCAAGUGGUAACGCAACUUUUGUAUUAUUAACAUGAAUGUUAAAGUCUUCAACAAUUAGUACUUUAUCAACAUUAACCAAUAGAUCUGAGAGGAAAUCUGCAAAUUCUCUAAGGAAAUCUGUAUAUGGCCCUGGCGUUCUAAUUUAAAAAACUCUAGCUUCAGUUUCAGUAUGUGUUUUAUUGUAAAUGGUGUGAUUAUCAGUGAUUUUUUGUGUUUUAGAUCAUGUUCCUCUCAGACUGAGUGGAGGGGAUGUCCGGUGCUCUGGGAGGCUGGAGGUGUAUCAUAACGCUGUGUGGGGCUCAGUCUGUGAUGAUCAGUGGGACAUCAGCAAUGCUCAGGUGGUCUGCAGGCAGCUGGGUUGUGGAGCAGCACUGAGGGCUGAUGGGAAUUCAGUCUUUGGUGCUGGUGAAGGUGUUGUGUGGAUGAACAGAGUCGAGUGCAGAGGGAAUGAGAUUCACCUGUGGGACUGUCCUCUCUCCCUGAAAAACCACACUGACUGCUCCCACAAAGAGCACGCUGGACUCACCUGUGCAGGUCAUAGCAAACACUGAGAAGUAUUAUUUAUUUUUAGACCAUUUUAGAGCAUAUAAUAUCAGUAUAUACCGAACAGUCAUGAUCUUGAAUGUGUUUGUGUCUAUUUUUACAGAUGUGUCAGUGUCCUCUACUCCUGCCACAACAGCAUCAGUUUCUCCUCCAGUGCGCUCAACAUCAGUCUCUCCUCCACAAACUCCUCCAGCAGUGUCUCUCUCCGUCCCCCCAGAGCUUGUGAUUGUUCUGGGAGUUGUAUUCUUACUGCUUUUAGUGCCACUGCUUAUACUGAUUCAGCAGAACAGAGUGAUGAGGAGAGCUCUCUCUAAGAGGAGACACAGGACGAAGACUGAGGCCGUUUAUGAGGAGAUUCAACACAGACACGAUCACUUCAUUCAGAGGGGUGAGUAAGUGUCAUAAUGUCUGAUUUGUGGAGAUCAACAGACUCAUCACUUUAUUCGGAGGGAUGACUGCAAUAAAUCAUACUGAUUAAUUUGUGGGACUUUGAGU